CAAGACCGGUGCCAGCCGCCGCGGUAAUACCGGCAGCCCAAGUGAUGGCCGCUGUUAUUGGGCCUAAAGCGUCCGUAGCUGGCCGCACAAGUCCGUCGGGAAAUCCGCCCGCUCAACGGGCGGCCGUCCGGCGGAACCUGUGUGGCUUGGGACCGGGAGGCCUGAGGGGUACGAUCGGGGUAGGAGUGAAAUCCUGUAAUCCCGCUCGGACCGCCGAUGGGGAAACCACUUCAGGAGAACGGAUCCGACAGUGAGGGACGAAAGCCAGGGUCUCGAACCGGAUUAGAUACCCGGGUAGUCCUGGCCGUAAACGAUGCUUGUUAGGUGUGACUCCCACUACGAGUGGGUGUUGUGCCGUAGGGAAGCCGC
RNAcentral lists this ribosomal RNA (369 nucleotides) under uncultured haloarchaeon. RNAcentral's name for it is "bacterial SSU rRNA". It matches the Rfam family "Archaeal small subunit ribosomal RNA", at positions 447 to 815 of the family's 1478-position model. Lineage: Archaea; Methanobacteriati; Methanobacteriota; Halobacteria; Halobacteriales; Halobacteriaceae. The record is from RNAcentral.